RNAcentral lists this ribosomal RNA (253 nucleotides) under uncultured bacterium. RNAcentral describes it as "partial 16S ribosomal RNA". It matches the Rfam family "Bacterial small subunit ribosomal RNA", at positions 524 to 776 of the family's 1533-position model. The record is from RNAcentral.
UACGUAGGGUGCAAGCGUUCCUCGGAAUUACUGGGCGUAAAGCGUGCGCAGGCGGCUUUGCAAGACAGAUGUGAAAUCCCCGGGCUUAACCUGGGAACUGCAUUUGUGACUGCAAGGCUAGAGUACGGUAGAGGGGGAUGGAAUUCCGCGUGUAGCAGUGAAAUGCGUAGAUAUGCGGAGGAACACCGAUGGCGAAGGCAAUCCCCUGGACCUGUACUGACGCUCAUGCACGAAAGCGUGGGGAGCAAACAGG